Molecule: ribosomal RNA, 494 nt
Filed under: uncultured bacterium
Lineage: Bacteria
Description: partial 16S ribosomal RNA
Rfam family: Bacterial small subunit ribosomal RNA
Source: RNAcentral
GAUGAACGCUAGCGGGAGGCCUAACACAUGCAAGCCGAGCGGUAUUGUUUCUUCGGAAAUGAGAGAGCGGCGUACGGGUGCGUAACACGUGUGCAACCUGCCUUUAUCUGGGGGAUAGCCUUUCGAAAGGAAGAUUAAUACUCCAUAAUAUAUUGAACGGCAUCGUUUAAUAUUGAAAGCUCCGGCGGAUAGAGAUGGGCACGCGCAAGAUUAGCUAGUUGGUGAGGUAACGGCUCACCAAGGCGAUGAUCUUUAGGGGGCCUGAGAGGGUGAGCCCCAACACGGGUACUGAGACACGGACCAGACUCCUACGGGAGGCAGCAGUGAGGAAUAUUGGUCAAUGGGUGCAAGCCUGAACCAGCCAUCCCGCGUGAAGGACGACUGCCCUAUGGGUUGUAAACUUCUUUUGUAUAGGGAUAAACCUACCCUCGUGAGGGUAGCUGAAGGUACUAUACGAAUAAGCACCGGCUACUCCGUGCCAGCCGCCGCAGUAA